This 2903-nucleotide ribosomal RNA is filed under the name Proteus mirabilis. RNAcentral describes it as "23S ribosomal RNA". It matches the Rfam family "Bacterial large subunit ribosomal RNA". Lineage: Bacteria; Pseudomonadati; Pseudomonadota; Gammaproteobacteria; Enterobacterales; Morganellaceae. The record is from RNAcentral.
GGUUAAGCGAAUAAGCGUACACGGUGGAUGCCUAGGCAAUCAGAGGCGAUGAAGGACGUGCUAAUCUGCGAAAAGCGUCGGUAAGGUGAUAUGAACCGUUAUACCCGACGAUAUCCGAAUGGGGAAACCCAGUAUCCAAUGGAUACUAUCAUUAACUGAAUCCAUAGGUUAAUGAGGCGAACCGGGAGAACUGAAACAUCUCAGUACCCCGAGGAAAAGAAAUCAACCGAGAUUCCCCUAGUAGCGGCGAGCGAACGGGGAGCAGCCCAGAGUCUUAAUCAAUAGCAGUGUCAGGAGAACGGUCUGGAAAGUCCGGCAGUAAAGGGUGAUAGCCCCGUAUCUGAAGAUGCUGUUGUUGUGAACUCGACGAGUAGGGCGGGACACGUGUUAUCCUGUCUGAAUAUGGGGGGACCAUCCUCCAAGGCUAAAUACUCCUGAUUGACCGAUAGUGAACCAGUACCGUGAGGGAAAGGCGAAAAGAACCCCGGCGAGGGGAGUGAAAAAGAACCUGAAACCGUGUACGUACAAGCAGUAGGAGCCUCUUUAUGGGGUGACUGCGUACCUUUUGUAUAAUGGGUCAGCGACUUAUAUUCUGUAGCAAGGUUAACCGUAUAGGGGAGCCGUAGGGAAACCGAGUCUUAACUGGGCGAAUGAGUUGCAGGGUAUAGACCCGAAACCCGGUGAUCUAUCCAUGGGCAGGUUGAAGGUUGGGUAACACUAACUGGAGGACCGAACCGACUAAUGUUGAAAAAUUAGCGGAUGACUUGUGGAUGGGGGUGAAAGGCCAAUCAAACCGGGAGAUAGCUGGUUCUCCCCGAAAGCUAUUUAGGUAGCGCCUCGUGAACUCAUCUUCGGGGGUAGAGCACUGUUUCGACUAGGGGGUCAUCCCGACUUACCAACUCGAUGCAAACUGCGAAUACCGAAGAAUGUUAUCACGGGAGACACACGGCGGGUGCUAACGUCCGUCGUGAAGAGGGAAACAACCCAGACCGCCAGCUAAGGUCCCAAAGUCAUGGUUAAGUGGGAAACGAAGUGGGAAGGCUCAGACAGCCAGGAUGUUGGCUUAGAAGCAGCCAUCAUUUAAAGAAAGCGUAAUAGCUCACUGGUCGAGUCGGCCCGCGCGGAAGAUGUAACGGGGCUAAACCAUGCACCGAAGCUGCGGCAGCGACACGUAGUGUUGUUGGGUAGGGGAGCGUUCUGUAAGCCUGCGAAGGUGUACUGUGAGGUAUGCUGGAGGUAUCAGAAGUGCGAAUGCUGACAUAAGUAACGAUAAUGCGGGUGAAAAACCCGCACGCCGGAAGACCAAGGGUUCCUGUCCAACGUUAAUCGGGGCAGGGUGAGUCGACCCCUAAGGCGAGGCUGAAAAGCGUAGUCGAUGGGAAACGGGUUAAUAUUCCCGUACUGGUGGUAACUGCGAUGGGGGAACGGAGAAGGCUAGGUUGUCCGGGCGACGGUCGUCCCGGUUCAAGCAGGUAGGCAGAGUGAUUAGGCAAAUCCGGUCACUUAAUGCUGAGAUGUGAUGACGAACCACCAAGGUGGUGAAGCAAUUGAUGCCCCGCUUCCAGGAAAAGCCUCUAAGCUUCAGGUUACCAACAAUCGUACCCCAAACCGACACAGGUGGUCAGGUAGAGAAUACUCAGGCGCUUGAGAGAACUCGGGUGAAGGAACUAGGCAAAAUGGUGCCGUAACUUCGGGAGAAGGCACGCUGGCGGUAGGUAAAGUCCCUCGCGGACGGCGCUGAAGCCAGUCGAAGAUACCAGCUGGCUGCAACUGUUUAUUAAAAACACAGCACUGUGCAAACACGAAAGUGGACGUAUACGGUGUGACGCCUGCCCGGUGCUGGAAGGUUAAUUGAUGGGGUCAGCCGUAAGGCGAAGCUCCUGAUCGAAGCCCCAGUAAACGGCGGCCGUAACUAUAACGGUCCUAAGGUAGCGAAAUUCCUUGUCGGGUAAGUUCCGACCUGCACGAAUGGCGUAAUGAUGGCCAGGCUGUCUCCACCCGAGACUCAGUGAAAUUGAACUCGCUGUGAAGAUGCAGUGUACCCGCGGCAAGACGGAAAGACCCCGUGAACCUUUACUAUAGCUUGACACUGAACAUUGAGCCUUGAUGUGUAGGAUAGGUGGGAGGCUUUGAAGUGUGGACGCCAGUCUGCAUGGAGCCAACCUUGAAAUACCACCCUUUAACGUUUGAUGUUCUAACCUAGGCCCAUAAACUGGGUCGGGGACCGUGUCUGGUGGGUAGUUUGACUGGGGCGGUCUCCUCCUAAAGAGUAACGGAGGAGCACGAAGGUUGGCUAAGCAUGGUCGGACAUCAUGCGGUUAGUGCAAAGGCAUAAGCCAGCUUGACUGCGAGAGUGACGGCUCGAGCAGGUACGAAAGUAGGUCUUAGUGAUCCGGUGGUUCUGAAUGGAAGGGCCAUCGCUCAACGGAUAAAAGGUACUCCGGGGAUAACAGGCUGAUACCGCCCAAGAGUUCAUAUCGACGGCGGUGUUUGGCACCUCGAUGUCGGCUCAUCACAUCCUGGGGCUGAAGUAGGUCCCAAGGGUAUGGCUGUUCGCCAUUUAAAGUGGUACGCGAGCUGGGUUUAGAACGUCGUGAGACAGUUCGGUCCCUAUCUGCCGUGGGCGUUGGAAGAUUGAGAGGGGUUGCUCCUAGUACGAGAGGACCGGAGUGAACGCACCACUGGUGUUCGGGUUGUCAUGCCAAUGGCAUUGCCCGGUAGCUAAGUGCGGAAGAGAUAACCGCUGAAAGCAUCUAAGCGGGAAACUUGCCUCGAGAUGAGUCUUCCCUGUCACUUUAAGUGACCUAAAGGAACGUUUAAGACUAAGACGUUGAUAGGCUGGGUGUGUAAGCGUAGCGAUACGUUGAGCUAACCAGUACUAAUGAACCGUGAGGCUUAACCUG